ACGCUGGCGGCAUGCCUUACACAUGCAAGUCGAACGGCAGCACGGGAGCAAUCCUGGUGGCGAGUGGCGAACGGGUGAGUAAUACAUCGGAACGUGCCCAAUCGUGGGGGAUAACGCAGCGAAAGCUGUGCUAAUACCGCAUAAGAUCUACGGAUGAAAGCAGGGGAUCGCAAGACCUUGCGCGAAUGGAGCGGCUGAUGGCAGAUUAGGUAGUUGGUGAGGUAAAGGCUCACCAAGCCUUCGAUCUGUAGCUGGUCUGAGAGGACGACCAGCCACACUGGGACUGAGACACGGCCCAGACUCCUACGGGAGGCAGCAGUGGGGAAUUUUGGACAAUGGGCGAAAGCCUGAUCCAGCCAUGCCGCGUGCAGGAUGAAGGCCUUCGGGUUGUAAACUGCUUUUGUACGGAACGAAAAGGUCUUUUCUAAUAAAGAAGGCUCAUGACGGUACCGUAAGAAUAAGCACCGGCUAACUACGUGCCAGCAGCCGCGGUAAUACGUAGGGUGCAAGCGUUAAUCGGAAUUACUGGGCGUAAAGCGUGCGCAGGCGGUUAUAUAAGACAGUUGUGAAAUCCCCGGGCUCAACCUGGGAACUGCAUCUGUGACUGUAUAGCUAGAGUACGGUAGAGGGGGAUGGAAUUCCGCGUGUAGCAGUGAAAUGCGUAGAUAUGCGGAGGAACACCGAUGGCGAAGGCAAUCCCCUGGACCUGUACUGACGCUCAUGCACGAAAGCGUGGGGAGCAAAC
This 745-nucleotide ribosomal RNA is filed under the name uncultured bacterium. RNAcentral's name for it is "bacterial SSU rRNA". It matches the Rfam family "Bacterial small subunit ribosomal RNA", at positions 33 to 773 of the family's 1533-position model. The record is from RNAcentral.